AUACGGAGGGUGCAAGCGUUAUCCGGAAUCUUUGGGUUUAAAGGGUCCGUAGGCGGACUAAUAAGUCAGGGGUGAAAUCCCACAGCUUAACUGUGGAACUGCCUUUGAUACUGUUAGUCUUGAGUUAUAUGGAAGUAGAUAGAAUGUGUAGUGUAGCGGUGAAAUGCUUAGAGAUUACACAGAAUACCGAUUGCGAAGGCAGUCUACUACAUAUAUACUGACGCUAAUGGACGAAAGCGUGGGGAGCGAACAGGAUUAGAAACCCUAGUAGUCC
This 274-nucleotide ribosomal RNA is filed under the name uncultured bacterium. Its description in RNAcentral is "partial 16S ribosomal RNA". It matches the Rfam family "Bacterial small subunit ribosomal RNA", at positions 523 to 796 of the family's 1533-position model. The record is from RNAcentral.